RNAcentral lists this ribosomal RNA (292 nucleotides) under uncultured bacterium. RNAcentral's name for it is "partial 16S ribosomal RNA". The record is from RNAcentral.
GGACUACAGGGGUAUCUAAUCCUGUUCGCUCCCCACGCUUUCGUGCCUCAGUGUCAGUAACAGUCCAGGAAGUCGCCUUCGCCACUGAUGUUCCUUCCGAUAUCUACGCAUUUCACCGCUACACCGGAAAUUCCACUUCCCUCUCCUGUACUCUAGUCCCUCAGUCUCAAACGCAAUUCCUAGGUUAAGCCUAGGGAUUUCACAUCUGACUUAAAGAACCACCUACGCACCCUUUACGCCCAGUAAUUCCGAUUAACGCUCGCACCCUCUGUAUUACCGCGGCUGCUGGCAC